AGUGGGUGUAAUGUACCUACUAGCCGACGACGGAUACGGGUUGUGGGAGCAAGAGCCCGGAGAUGGAUUCUGAGACAUGAAUCCAGGCCCUACGAGGCGCAGCAGGCGCGAAAACUUUACAAUGCGGGAAACCGCGAUAAGGGGACACCGAGUGCCAGCAUCUUAUGUUGGCUGUCCGCAUGUAUAAAUCACAUGUGUUAGCAAGGGCCGGGCAAGACCGGUGCCAGCCGCCGCGGUAACACCGGCGGCCCGAGUGGUGGCCACUAUUAUUGGGUCUAAAGGGUCCGUAGCCGGUUUGGUCAGUCUUCCGGGAAAUCUGACGGCUUAACCGUUAGGCUUUCGGGGGAUACUACCAGGCUUGGGACCGGGAGAGGUAAGAGGUACUACGGGGGUAGGAGUGAAAUCUUGUAAUCCUCGUGGGACCACCAGUGGCGAAGGCGUCUUACCAGAACGGGUCCGACGGUGAGGGACGAAAGCUGGGGGCACGAACCGGAUUAGAU
This 500-nucleotide ribosomal RNA is filed under the name uncultured microorganism. RNAcentral describes it as "bacterial SSU rRNA". It matches the Rfam family "Archaeal small subunit ribosomal RNA", at positions 234 to 734 of the family's 1478-position model. The record is from RNAcentral.